This 467-nucleotide ribosomal RNA is filed under the name uncultured bacterium. Its description in RNAcentral is "partial 16S ribosomal RNA". It matches the Rfam family "Bacterial small subunit ribosomal RNA", at positions 28 to 506 of the family's 1533-position model. The record is from RNAcentral.
GACGAACGCUGGCGGCGUGCUUAACACAUGCAAGUCGAACGGAAAGGCCCUGCUUUUGUGGGGUGCUCGAGUGGCGAACGGGUGAGUAACACGUGAGUAACCUGCCCUUGACUUUGGGAUAACUUCAGGAAACUGGGGCUAAUACCGGAUAGGAGCUCCUGCUGCAUGGUGGGGGUUGGAAAGUUUCGGCGGUUGGGGAUGGACUCGCGGCUUAUCAGCUUGUUGGUGGGGUAGUGGCUUACCAAGGCUUUGACGGGUAGCCGGCCUGAGAGGGUGACCGGCAAAAUGGGGACUGAGAUACGGCCCAGACUCCUACGGGGGGCAGCAGUGGGGAAUAUUGCACAAGGGGCGGAAGCCUGAUGCAGCAACGCCGCGUGCGGGAUGACGGCCUUCGGGUGGUAAACCGCUUUCGCCUGUGACGAAGCGUGAGUGACGGGAAUGGGGAAAGAAGCACCGGCGAACUACGU